Regulatory RNA element from Dermacoccus nishinomiyaensis, 90 nucleotides. It matches the Rfam family "SAM riboswitch aptamer (S box leader)". From Rfam's summary of the family: The SAM riboswitch is found upstream of a number of genes which code for proteins involved in methionine or cysteine biosynthesis in Gram-positive bacteria. The record is from Rfam. NCBI's taxonomy places the organism in Bacteria, Bacillati, Actinomycetota, Actinomycetes, Micrococcales, Dermacoccaceae.
AUCCCAUCCAGAGCGGCCGAGAGAUCUGGCUCGUCGACGCCGCAGCAACCGACCCUCACGGAACGGUGCUCACGCCAGAAGCGAUGGAGU